CUGUCUUCUAUGAACGAUAACUUUAAACUGGUGUCAAUGCUUUUUUUUAACAAUUCAUCUUUAUUUCAACAAUUGAAGAUGAAUACCAUUUUAUUUUAUAAUGUAAUAAGCACUAUGGGCAGGCGCGGAUCCAGAGCUUGAAGUGGGGGUUUGGGGGAGGGGUUAUGUGAGAAAUGUUUAAAACACUAGAGAAGUUUUCAUGUUAUACCAAACCAUAUGUUUUUCAAUAAAUGGCACACUUUUUGUUCA
Molecule: long non-coding RNA, 249 nt
Filed under: Mytilus galloprovincialis (Mediterranean mussel)
Lineage: Eukaryota; Metazoa; Mollusca; Bivalvia; Mytilida; Mytilidae
Source: RNAcentral